Molecule: unclassified non-coding RNA, 270 nt
Filed under: Hevea brasiliensis (rubber tree)
Lineage: Eukaryota; Viridiplantae; Streptophyta; Magnoliopsida; Malpighiales; Euphorbiaceae
Source: RNAcentral
GACAAACAAUUAGUGAGAUAUAUUACUAUUAUUAUUUUUGGUGGGUUGAGGUUUUUAGAGACCUUAGUUUUGAGCUACCUGGCCCUCUCCACAUGUACUAAAAAGAGAUGAAUAAAUUAAUUGCCUUUAAAAUUUUGGCAAUUUCAACAUAAAUCAACAACUCCCAAUCCAUGGAAGAUUUUGUGUUGCACCAUAAUUUUGUAAGAGAUUACCUAUAUGCAGAAACUGCAACUCUAUAUGCCAAGUAAAAGGGUGAUUAUGUGUAUUUAC